RNAcentral lists this unclassified non-coding RNA (89 nucleotides) under Pseudomonas sp. bs2935. Lineage: Bacteria; Pseudomonadati; Pseudomonadota; Gammaproteobacteria; Pseudomonadales; Pseudomonadaceae. The record is from RNAcentral.
UGUGGGAGCGGGCUUGCUCGCGAUAGCGUUGGAUCAGUUGAUAAAUCAUUGACUGAUACCCCGCUAUCGCGGGCAAGCCCGCUCCCACA